This 1248-nucleotide ribosomal RNA is filed under the name Enterococcus faecium. RNAcentral's name for it is "bacterial SSU rRNA". It matches the Rfam family "Bacterial small subunit ribosomal RNA", at positions 150 to 1385 of the family's 1533-position model. The record is from RNAcentral. Lineage: Bacteria; Bacillati; Bacillota; Bacilli; Lactobacillales; Enterococcaceae.
UUGGAAACAGGUGCUAAUACCGUAGAACAAUCGAAACCGCAUGGUUUUGAUUUGAAAGGCGCUUUCGGGUGUCGCUGAUGGAUGGACCCGCGGUGCAUUAGCUAGUUGGUGAGGUAACGGCUCACCAAGGCCACGAUGCAGAGCCGACCUGAGAGGGUGAUCGGCCACAUUGGGACUGAGACACGGCCCAAACUCCUACGGGAGGCAGCAGUAGGGAAUCUUCGGCAAUGGACGAAAGUCUGACCGAGCAACGCCUCGUGAGUGAAGAAGGUUUUCGGAUCGUAAAACUCUGUUGUUAGAGAAGAACAAGGAUGAGAGUAACUGUUCAUCCCUUGACGGUAUCUAACCAGAAAGCCACGGCUAACUACGUGCCAACAGCCGCGGUAAUACGUAGGUGGCAAGCGUUGUCCGGAUUUAUUGGGCGUAAAGCGAGCGCAGGCGGUUUCUUAAGUCUGAUGUGAAAGCCCCCGGCUCAACCGGGGAGGGUCAUUGGAAACUGGGAGACUUGAGUGCAGAAGAGGAGAGUGGAAUUCCAUGUGUAGCGGUGAAAUGCGUAGAUAUAUGGAGGAACACCAGUGGCGAAGGCGGCUCUCUGGUCUGUAACUGACGCUGAGGCUCGAAAGCGUGGGGAGCAAACAGGAUUAGAUACCCUGGUAGUCCACGCCGUAAACGAUGAGUGCUAAGUGUUGGAGGGUUUCCGCCCUUCAGUGCUGCAGCUAACGCAUUAAGCACUCCGCCUGGGGAGUACGACCGCAAGGUUGAAACUCAAAGGAAUUGACGGGGGCCCGCACAAGCGGUGGAGCAUGUGGUUUAAUUCGAAGCAACGCGAAGAACCUUACCAGGUCUUGACAUCCUUUGACCACUCUAGAGAUAGAGCUUCCCCUUCGGGGGCAAAGUGACAGGUGGUGCAUGGUUGUUGUCAGCUCGUGUCGUGAGAUGUUGGGUUAAGUCCCGCAACGAGCGCAACCCUUAUUGUUAGUUGCCAUCAUUCAGUUGGGCACUCUAGCAAGACUGCCGGUGACAAACCGGAGGAAGGUGGGGAUGACGUCAAAUCAUCAUGCCCCUUAUGACCUGGGCUACACACGUGCUACAAUGGGAAGUACAACGAGUUGCGAAGUCGCGAGGCUAAGCUAAUCUCUUAAAGCUUCUCUCAGUUCGGAUUGCAGGCUGCAACUCGCCUGCAUGAAGCCGGAAUCGCUAGUAAUCGCGGAUCAGCACGCCGCGGUGAAUACGUUCCCGGGCCUUGUA